CCAAAAACAAUGACCUGUUUUCUUUUGUUUCACACUAAAUAUAGCUCGCUGCAUGUCAUCUUCAUAACCAUGUUAGUCAAAAUGGGUGUUCUGAAGAAUUUGACCCAAGGAUACAUGGCUGAACAAAAGGGGUUCAAGGACGGACUCUUGAGGAACUCCACAUGUCAUUGGGUUUCGGAUUUCAAUUUCGGGUUUUAAACCAGGGUUAUGGUUUCAAAGUAGGAUUUUAAACUAGGGUGGGAUUUUCAAAUUUGGGUCUGAUUUUCCAAUUAGGGUUUGAAACCAAGGGCACAUAGAGGGCCGAUCUUUGACGAAGGGGCGUCCUGCUGAGAUAGAUGAGUAUAAAGUUGCGUCCACACUUCCAAACCCCUGACCACCCACUGCACUCGACAAAUAAUUUUUUGAUGUGCAUCAAAAUCGGCCGGCUGUCCCGGCAUCCACUGACCUUACGUGCCCAUCUACCUGACAGCAGUAAUCAUAAUUAUGUUUCUAUUAUGUAAAACUGCUUUACUUGAUGUACAGUCUCAAUCUCCGUUUGUGCUUAAACUCGUCUCCAGGUGCCAUCCCAUCUUGUGGACUGAAAAUGUAAAAAUAUAUAAGGCUUGGAGGAAACGGUUAAACUAUGAAAGGACAAAUAGGUCAUGGAAAUACUGAACAUAUGCCACUUUGUGUGGAUUUUUGGCAUCAUCGCACAUCUGUCUCUUCAGCUUAGAGUUGUUUGUUUGUGAAAUGAAAACAGUAUAAAAUGCAAUUCGGGACAUUUACAUAGUUGUUUUUUUUUAUUGCAAACGUGGUUUCUUAUAAAAGGGUCACAAAAGCAAAAAAAGAAGCUUGAAA
Hippocampus comes (tiger tail seahorse) is the source of this 837-nucleotide long non-coding RNA. RefSeq lists it as uncharacterized. Lineage: Eukaryota; Metazoa; Chordata; Actinopteri; Syngnathiformes; Syngnathidae. The transcript has 2 exons. The record is from RefSeq and is a predicted model, not a curated record.